This 253-nucleotide ribosomal RNA is filed under the name uncultured bacterium. RNAcentral's name for it is "partial 16S ribosomal RNA". It matches the Rfam family "Bacterial small subunit ribosomal RNA", at positions 524 to 776 of the family's 1533-position model. The record is from RNAcentral.
GACAGAGGAUGCAAGCGUUAUCCGGAAUGAUUGGGCGUAAAGCGUCUGUAGGUGGCUUUUUAAGUCCGCCGUCAAAUCCCAGGGCUCAACCCUGGACAGGCGGUGGAAACUACCAAGCUGGAGUACGGUAGGGGCAGAGGGAAUUCUCGGUGUAGUGGUGAAAUACGUAGAUAUCGAGAAGAACACCAAUAGCGAAAGCACUCUGCUGGGCCGAAACUGACAUUGAGAGACGAAAGCUAGGGGAGCGAAAGGG